This is an RNA transcript of Solenopsis invicta (red fire ant), 3575 nucleotides long. RefSeq lists it as uncharacterized. The record is from RefSeq and is a predicted model, not a curated record. The transcript has 10 exons. NCBI's taxonomy places the organism in Eukaryota, Metazoa, Arthropoda, Insecta, Hymenoptera, Formicidae.
GGCGACGCCACACACGGGCGAGCGAGGUUAUUUAAAAAUGGCGGACGCGUCGUCUUCCGACACUACCUCGGACUGCUGCAAUGAGUGUUUCUCUGACAUUACGUCGGAAAAGUCCGAAUGCGUCGUGGUGGGACGCAAGCCGUGCCUGUCGCAUCGUCGCAGCAAGCGGAACUUCCUGCAGAAGCUGAUGAUACGGGAGAUGAGAGGAUGUCUGUCAGCGCACAAUUACGCCUCAGAGGAGAGAUUGUUUACAUCUGUACCCAAGUGGCGGCAUUUGCCUCUUCUACACAUAAUCCCGAAGUCUGCACUUGAAGCAGGACAUAUUGUUAUGGGAUUGACGCAAUGUGGCCAGUUUCUGCUCACGUAUACGUACACGUUGGACGUCAGCAGCAAUACGUCUUUGUACAAAUAUCUGUUGCACUGGUGGGCCUUCACGCCCAAUCGUGUAGCUCGCAAAGUUGCCGAAGUUACGUUGUUCGGCAAUUAUUCGAUUUGUAGAGAAUUAAGCAUAGUUAUAUCGCAAUGGCCAAUGGAGCGGAAUAAACUUGUAAUUCACGGUCUCUGUACAAAUUUCUUACAAUUUCAACCGACUGAUAGAGCGUAUUUAACUAUAACCACAGUACCAUCUCUCGACCACUGUAAAGAUUGCUUGAAAAUUGCCGCGUCGUACGAAGAAGAAGGUGAAGAGUUGGCCGCAAAUUGGGAUGGUUGCGUACGAUGUAAUUGCUUACAACAUGGCCUUACGGUUCACACGACUUAUGAAGUCAUCUCGCCGUAUCCGAAGUUUCGCGCCACAGUGUGCCUGAAUUAUUGGAAUCACGUUGUGGUUAACACAGGAAACUUCUUACAUGUUCUCAGGGUAGAUUUAAAUAUACCUAAAUCGAAGAAUCAGAGAGCGUGCGAUAAACAGGACGGCGUCAUACAUGACUCCGUAGUUCCGGACACGAUUCCGCUUGACAUGAGCGACGUUGAGGAGACGGACUACUCGACGAGGACGGAACGUUACGAGAGUUCGGACGAGAAAGUGAGCACGCCAGAAUGCGUCGAUCGAUCUCCAAAAUGCGAAUCUAGCCUGGAGCACGACUUUUUAGAUGAGCCAAUUAAGUUAGACGAUAAGCUAGGACGCGAUUUGCCAUUAAAUACCUCAAGCAGUAAUCAAAGCGACUAUGUCUGUGAUAUAAAUAAUAAGUCUCCGGCUGCAAUCGCUUUAAACAUUAAAUUGUGCGAAUGUUCGGACCUGGCUGAAUGCAAGUGUCGGAAUAACAGCAGCGGCAGUCCGAUUUCGCUGCCAGUUGGUGUUGAGCAGACGGCCAUUUCGGUGCGGGACAAGAUUCUGCAGGAUUUCUGCGAGGACACGUCACAGGAACUCAACAUCGGCAGUGAUCUUAUCACGCUGGUGAAACAUCCGUCGUGCUCACCGCGCUCAACGCCGCAGAGACUGCCUGCCGAUCUUAAGGCGAUGACCACAUGGUCCUCGCCGAUACUUACUCCGCCGUCGGACAUCCUGCGCACUCGCAAUUCGGAAUCUAGUCACAGAAUCCAAGUCCAGCGUAAUAGCAGUAGCAGCCAGCAACGUUCGAGCUCGCCACAACCUGGUGCCUCGCAACAGGACAACUCCGUGGCUUCCAUAAAUUCACCAUUGCAAUCCGUGUCGAUCAGUCCCUCGUCUUCGUACUCAGCUCGUUUAAUGUCACCGCCAAUUGCCCGUUCGUUUCGCUAUCCAAGUCCGCGCAAGAGAUCGAAUCUACACUCACCUCCGCCUAUUCCGGCUCAGUCGACCAGGACGACGAGAGCAACGCACAAGCUUAUUCUUGAAGCGGAAAAGGCAUACGAGUUCACUGACGAGGUGCAGGAGACGACCUGCGAGAAACUCAGCUCGUUCAGGAAGCGCCGGCUUGCUGACAAGAAAUACGAGUUUUGCGACGAGACGGAGGACGCGGAGAACAUAGUUCCUUUCAAACACAUACGCGAUCAGUUCAGACAUCGCGGUACCUGCUCCAUACAUCAGAUUCCCUCCUCGCCUGCGAUGUCACCGGUUCUGCCGAACGGCCGUAGGCACUGGGUCGACUCAGAUCAGAGCGAACCGGACGAAUUGAAUCUUGCUCAAGAUAUUAGUAUAUCCAAUGACUUGUCGAGUACUGAAUCAGCUGAGAAAAGUGUACUACGACCGUUGAACCAGAAUCAACUGUCUAACGGGAGUGUGCACAGAGAUCGUGUCGGCAAGUGCUGCUCGAAUUUCUCUCCGCUGGUUCCUCGAAAUAACUUGCAAUACCCUCUGAUAAAGUGCACUGCACAUUUUAAACGGAGCUACAUAGAGCUCGACGACGAGAUGAUUUCGGUGAUCACAGAUGUAGAAGACGAAGAAACAGGAGGGUACGUAAGUUAUCAAUGUGUACUUCCGAUGCUCGUGCAUGGCUCCGGAUAUGUUCAAAUGCAGAUGAUCAGCAAUAGCAAAGCGGAAAAACUGAUAGUGCCAUGCGUGUCUAUAACACAAUUGAGUUUUGAUAUCGAGACUUUUUCUCAUCACAUAGCAGAUUGGAUCUGCGCGAGAUUUAAGAAAAAAUAUUGGCAUUGCAGCGAUUAUGAUAUCGAAAUAAUUGACGUGUGUGCGCUUAGCGGCGACAUUAUAUGUUUGCACAUAAUGAAGAUCCAAGCAAUGCGCAAGAGAGGAAAUUAUACGAGGUCGGAUGUAAAUUCACGUGGAACAUCGACACGAGCCAGUACAGGAUAACGGAUGUGUUGCCAAUGGAGGAAGUAAAGCCGGAAUCUUGGAAACCGACACUCACAAACAUACCGAAUUUUCGUAGCCAGUUAUGGAAUCCGACCCGUCGUUUAGCUACGCAGUUACGAGAAAAAAUUCAACAACCAUACGCGCAUACAGUACGUUUCCUUCAUAACGAGAUGAGCUUAGCAGGCGAGACUAUAACCAAGCUCAUCGAUCUGGACAAUCUAGUGCAGUUCUACAUAACGCCGAUGGAAUGUGAUGUGGAACGUACGAACGACGCCUUAAUGGAGUGAGGAAAAACAGAGGAGCCAUUAUCGCAUAUUUCAUUGCAAACAAUAAUUUAUUGAUACAAAUUCCGCCAUUUUUGCCAACUUGCCAAGCAGCGGUAUAUAACUUAUAGAAAUGUACUCCGCAUUGUUAACAGUUGCAAAGAGUAUCUUCCCUUUCGAGCAUAAAUAAUACACAAAAGAGUGUGUAAGCCAUAUAGGACUCUUGCUACUUUUUUUUGCUAAACGGAAUCGAUUCAGUGCGUGGUGCGACUUGUUCAUAACUUAGAGGCAUAGGCUAAAGGUACUAAUUAAUGAUACAACGAAGCUCUUGCAAGUUUUGCUCCGAUUUGUAAAAUUUACCAGUGCUGUAUACUAUACAUUGACGCUAUCUACGCUAUCAUGGUAACUGCUGUACUUUGGUAAUUAGUAGAUAUAUAGAUGACUAAACUGAUUGUCAAUAAAUGUAUUGUAAUGUGAUUCAAAGUAAGAGAAAGAUAGAGAGAAGGGAAUAUGGCGAUAAACUGCCUUGAUAUACUUUGGUCCCCAAAAUUAACUGAUAAUUUAAACUUCUAAAGAAGAAA